Molecule: small nuclear RNA, 107 nt
Organism: Rhinopithecus roxellana (golden snub-nosed monkey)
Lineage: Eukaryota; Metazoa; Chordata; Mammalia; Primates; Cercopithecidae
Source: Ensembl
GUGCUCGCUUCAGCAGCACAUAUACCAAAACUGAAACAAUACAGAGAAGAUUAGCAUGCCUUCUGCGCAAGGAUGGCAUACAACUUCUUGAAGCGUUCCAUAUUUUA